GACUCGAUGAGCAUGAGUUUGAGCAAGCUCCAGGAGAUGGUGAAGGACAGGGAGGCCUGGCAUGCUGCAGUUCAUGGAGUGUGAAAGAGUCGGACACAACUGAGCGACUGAACUGAACUGAUAAAAGUACGGCUUGAGAAACUCAGUGCCAGUGAUUGUAUUAAGCACUUUACCUAUAUUUAUUUAAUCGUCACAACUACUCUAUGAAGUAGUUGCCAUCAUUAUUUCCAUUUUAGAUAUGAGAAAACAGGCACAGGACAAUAAAGGAAUAGAAGUAAGGGUGGAACUGGGAUUGAGAAUCAGGCCAUCUGGCUCUAACCUCUGUAAUUUUUUUUUGACAGCACCGCACAGCUUUUGGGAUCUAACCCAGGCAUCCUGCAGUGGAAGCAUGCAGUCCUAACCAGUGGACCACCAGGGAAUUCCCUACCUGGUUCUUAGACGAUCCUUGAACUCUCUUUUCUUGAGCCAGGCAGUGUAGUUACUGUUUUCCUGUUUUACAGAGGAAAAAACUGAUGCCUAGAGAGCAAAUACCUUGCUCAGGAUCAAUCACACGCAGGGGGCGCCCGCUGCCUCCCUCACGGCUCCCAGACCAAAACCAGGCCCUUGGACUGGUGGCUUGUGCAGCAGCCGGUCCAGGCCGACCUUGGGGACCACGAGAAAAGGCAACAACAAUGACAGUGUUAGCCUGUGCAAAGCCAGGGACAUGCCAAGAGUGGCUUGCCUCCCCUUGGUCCCCAAACCGGACUGCCAAGCGGCGACGCCCAGAUCUUCUGAAAGAUGUUUUAGCCCGUGAAGCAGCUCUCCUCCGUCAGAACCUUCUCCGUUAAGAGCCAGGGGUCUGAAACUUUUAAAACUUCAAAGAAAUACUGUGUCAGAGUGAAAAUCAAUAAACUGGAGCUAUAGAUAUUAACACAGAUAACACUCAAAAACGUAAUGUUGAAUGGCAAAGCAAGUUGCCAAAGGCACAGAGUUUCAUGAGGGAAAUGGGAGAGUCCAAGGCAAGAAUACUAACCCCCAUUUGCAUCCCACCUCUCCUCCUCUUUCGUGUGUGGGCACGCUGGCUCCGGUUCAGCUCCAUUUACUUCCUACCCCAUCCCUCACCAACAGCCGGUUCUUGGUCACGCUGGCCUGGGGGUACCCGCCUAGGUAGAUGGCCCACCCUCAGGAGGCUGGACCUUGGAAAGAGUCCCGCACAGGCGCUGGAGGCAGGCUCAUUGCUGUGGGGCUGAAAGUUCUGGGGUCCCCAGUACCCUGAGUGCGACCUCAAAGAGGCUCACAGGCCCCAGGUGCGCAUAUUCCCUUGAACUCCUUACCCCAUGGAAAGAAGCACAGACAGAGAAGGGUCAGAAGGAGACCCCACCUCUAAAGCUUGGGGACCAAGACUGGACUUGCUGGGUCUAAGAGCCAUACUAAAUAAAUUAACACUAUUUUUAUAUAAAGGAAAACAUGCAAAAUAAGAUGUUGCUUAUUGGUAGAUAUGGAAGUUAUAAAAGUUUUUUAAUGGAAUAAAAACGUGUGUCUGAUAUCA
Long non-coding RNA from Bubalus bubalis (water buffalo), 1528 nucleotides. RefSeq lists it as uncharacterized. NCBI's taxonomy places the organism in Eukaryota, Metazoa, Chordata, Mammalia, Artiodactyla, Bovidae. The transcript has 2 exons. The record is from RefSeq and is a predicted model, not a curated record.